Prionailurus viverrinus (fishing cat) is the source of this 433-nucleotide long non-coding RNA. RefSeq lists it as uncharacterized. NCBI's taxonomy places the organism in Eukaryota, Metazoa, Chordata, Mammalia, Carnivora, Felidae. The transcript has 2 exons. The record is from RefSeq and is a predicted model, not a curated record.
GACACCGGCACGAUGCGAAUGCUGGGAUUUUGGAGCCCUUGCCACACCCCCAGCGUCAGACUCCCAUAAUUACUACGGAAAUUGCUUCCGUGUUUUUCUGCGCAUGCGCGGGUGGGGCGAGCCGGUCACUUAGCUACGGAGCUUGAGUUUUCAGCAGUCAUUGGAGUUCUGACUACACAGGUGGCAUAGGUUUCUUCUGGAACAUACGUCGUGGCACAGGAUGCAAACGGAGUGGAUGGGAGCGAGAGCUGAUAGUUGUAUGUCCCUUCAGGGAUUUAGCGAUGGCCUUCCAAAUACUUCCAGAUGAAGUAUUUCCAUUAUGUUCCUAUUUCCUACUACUUGAGAAAAGAUAAAGAAUCACUUCUAAAAGCUAGUUUCAAGCCUUUGUUGUCUUUGUAUAGUAACCAAUAAAUCAAUCUGCUUCAUAAUUUCA